GAAUUAUUGCUGGCACCUAAGUGGUGGCUGAGUUGAGGGAUGCAGGCAUGUACACCUUCAUUUGGUCAGUAUUUUUGGAGUGCCUACUGAGUACCAGGCCCUGUGAUCAGGGCUGGGUGGGUGCUGCACACAGUAGGUGGCCAGGACACAUGCUGGCUCUUGGCUGAGACUUGAUCGAUGUGGACAUCUUCGAGCCCCAGGGGAUCAGCAAGCUGGAUGCCCAGGCCUCUUUCCUGCCGAAGGAACUGGCAGCCCAAACUAUCAAGAAGUCCUUCUCAGGAAAAAAGGGUCACGUGCUGUUCCGUCCCACUGUGAGCCAGCAGCAGUCCUGCCCCACAUGCUCUACAUCCUUACUGAACGGGCACUUCAAGGUGACCUACGAUGUCAGUCGAGACAAGAUCUGCGACCUCCUGGUGGCCAAUAACCACUUUGCCCACUUCUUCGCCCCCCAAAACCUGACAAACAUGAACAAGAAUGUGGUUUUUGUGAUUGACAUCAGUGGCUCCAUGAGAGGCCAGAAAGUGAAGCAGACCAAGGAGGCACUCCUUAAAAUUCUGGGGGACAUGCAGCCAGGGGA
Molecule: small RNA, 577 nt
Filed under: Pan troglodytes (chimpanzee)
Lineage: Eukaryota; Metazoa; Chordata; Mammalia; Primates; Hominidae
Description: processed transcript
Source: RNAcentral